AAGGAAUAUUGGACAAUGGAGGCAACUCUGAUCCAGCCAUCCCGCGUGUAGGAAGAAGGCCCUAUGGGUCGUAAACUACUUUUGUCAGGGAAUAAACCUCUCGAUUUACUCGAGAGCUGAAGGUACCUGAAGAAUAAGCACCGGCUAACUCCGUGCCAGCAGCCGCGGUAAUACGGAGGGUGCAAGCGUUAUCCGGAAUCACUGGGUUUAAAGGGUGCGUAGGUGGUAUCGUAAGUCAGAAGUGAAAGUUUGCGGCUUAACCGUAAAAUUGCUUUUGAUACUGCAAUACUUGAAUCAGGUUGAGGUUGGCGGAAUGUGGCAUGUAGCGGUGAAAUGCUUAGAUAUGCCAUAGAACACCAAUUGCGAAGGCAGCUGACUGGACCUGUAUUGAUGCUGAGGCACGAAAGCGUGGGGAGCGAA
Molecule: ribosomal RNA, 420 nt
Filed under: uncultured bacterium
Lineage: Bacteria
Description: bacterial SSU rRNA
Rfam family: Bacterial small subunit ribosomal RNA
Source: RNAcentral